ACAACAGCUAGAGUUUGAUCCUGGCUCAGGAUGAACGCUGGCGGCGUGCCUAACACAUGCAAGUCGAGCGAACUCUUCGGAGUGAGCGGCGGACGGGUGAGUAACGCGUGGGUAACCUGCCCUGUACACAUGGAUAACAUACCGAAAGGUAUGCUAAUACAAGAUAAAAUAUAUUUAUCGCAUGAUAGAUAUAUCAAAGCGUUAGCGGUACAGGAUGGACCCGCGUCUGAUUAGCUAGUUGGUAAGGUAAAGGCUUACCAAGGCGACGAUCAGUAGCCGACCUGAGAGGGUGAUCGGCCACAUUGGAACUGAGACACGGUCCAAACUCCUACGGGAGGCAGCAGUGGGGAAUAUUGCACAAUGGGCGAAAGCCUGAUGCAGCAACGCCGCGUGAGCGAAGAAGGCCUUCGGGUCGUAAAGCUCUGUCCUCAAGGAAGAUAAUGACGGUACUUGAGGAGGAAGCCCCGGCUAACUACGUGCCAGCAGCCGCGGUAA
Molecule: ribosomal RNA, 495 nt
Filed under: uncultured bacterium
Lineage: Bacteria
Description: bacterial SSU rRNA
Rfam family: Bacterial small subunit ribosomal RNA
Source: RNAcentral